This 253-nucleotide ribosomal RNA is filed under the name uncultured prokaryote. RNAcentral describes it as "partial 16S ribosomal RNA". It matches the Rfam family "Bacterial small subunit ribosomal RNA", at positions 524 to 776 of the family's 1533-position model. The record is from RNAcentral.
UACGGAGGAUCCAAGCGUUAUCCGGAAUCAUUGGGUUUAAAGGGUCCGUAGGCGGUUUAGUAAGUCGGAUGUGAAAUCCCCAGGCUCAACUUGGGAACUGCAUCCGAUACUGGAUGGCUUGAAUUCGGGAGAGGGAUGCAGAAUUCCAGGUGUAGCGGUGAAAUGCGUAGAUAUCUGGAGGAAUACCGGUGGCGAAGGCGGCAUCCUGGACCGACAUUGACGCUGAGGAGCGAAAGCGUGGGUAGCGAACAGG